GGAGACCUUUCUGAGUCUUUCGUCGUGAUAUCGGAGUGUAUUUUCUUCUCCUGAACGUUCUGGAAGAUUUUAUGAUGAUUUUUGGGUGACCUAUCGGCUUCUAGGGUUUUUGGUGGUUUAACAUAGGGUUCUACUGCUUUCCGGUGGCUCGAUUCUUACUCAUUGGACGUUUUGGGUGCCUCUCCGACGUUCCUGACCACAUUUUCAGUAAGGAUUUCCAAGGUUACACCUAGGGCUUUGUACCUAGGGUUUCUCUGUUGUUUGAAGGCCGAUCUUCUCCGGUCGCGAAGAAGGAGGGUAACUCUGUCCUUAUCUUCGGUAUUGUAUGUGAUUAUUUGACU
This 341-nucleotide long non-coding RNA is filed under the name Nicotiana benthamiana. Its description in RNAcentral is "long non-coding RNA (NBEN_LNC016813)". The record is from RNAcentral. Lineage: Eukaryota; Viridiplantae; Streptophyta; Magnoliopsida; Solanales; Solanaceae.